This 1354-nucleotide ribosomal RNA is filed under the name uncultured bacterium. RNAcentral describes it as "bacterial SSU rRNA". It matches the Rfam family "Bacterial small subunit ribosomal RNA", at positions 28 to 1381 of the family's 1533-position model. The record is from RNAcentral.
GAUGAACGCUAGCGGCAGGCUUAAUACAUGCAAGUCGAGGGGCAGCGGGAGUAGCAAUACUUGCCGGCGACCGGCGCACGGGUGCGUAACACGUAUACAAUCUACCCUUUACAGGGGGAUAGCCCUCCGAAAGGAGGAUUAAUACCCCAUAAUAAAUUGAAUGGCAUCAUUUGAUUUUGAAAGAUUUAUCGGUAAAGGAUGAGUAUGCGUCUGAUUAGCUAGUUGGAGAGGUAACGGCUCCCCAAGGCGACGAUCAGUAGGGGAUCUGAGAGGACUACCCCCCACACUGGUACUGAGACACGGACCAGACUCCUACGGGAGGCAGCAGUAAGGAAUAUUGGUCAAUGGAGGCAACUCUGAACCAGCCAUGCCGCGUGCAGGAAGACGGCCCUAUGGGUUGUAAACUGCUUUUGUACGGGAGAAAACCCUUUCACGUGUGGGAGGUUGAUAGUACCGUAAGAAUAAGCAUCGGCUAACUUCGUGCCAGCAGCCGCGGUAAGACGAAGGAUGCAAGCGUUAUCCGGAUUCAUUGGGUUUAAAGGGAGCGUAGGUGGACUUGUAAGUCAGUGGUGAAAUCUCUCAGCUUAACUGAGAAACUGCCAUUGAUACUGCAGGUCUUGAGUACAGAUGAUGUGGGCGGAAUAUGACAUGUAGUGGUGAAAUACUUAGAUAUGUCAUAGAACACCGAUUGCGAAGGCAGCUCACAAAACUGUAACUGACACUGAGGCUCGAAAGUGCGGGGAUCAAACAGGAUUAGAUACCCUGGUAGUCCGCACCGUAAACGAUGAUAACUCGUUGUUAGCGGUAUGACAGUUAGCGACCAAGCGAAAGCGAUAAGUUAUCCACCUGGGGAGUACGCCGGCAACGGUGAAACUCAAAGGAAUUGACGGGGGCCCGCACAAGCGGAGGAGCAUGUGGUUUAAUUCGAUGAUACGCGAGGAACCUUACCUGGGCUUGAAAGUUAGUGACCGUCUCUGAAAGGAGAUUUUCCGCAAGGACACGAAACUAGGUGCUGCAUGGCUGUCGUCAGCUCGUGCCGUGAGGUGUUGGGUUAAGUCCCGCAACGAGCGCAACCCCUACCAUCAGUUACCAGCGAGUAAUGUCGGGAACUCUAAUGGAACUGCCCGUGCAAACGGUGAGGAAGGUGGGGAUGACGUCAAGUCAUCACGGCCCUUACGUCCAGGGCUACACACGUGCUACAAUGGCCGGUACAACGGGCAGCUACACAGUGAUGUGAUGCUAAUCUCUAAAAACCGGUCUCAGUUCGGAUUGAAGUCUGCAACUCGACUUCAUGAAGCUGGAUUCGCUAGUAAUCGCGCAUCAGCAAUGGCGCGGUGAAUACGUUCCCGGGCCU